AAGUCGUAACAAGGUUUCCGUAGGUGAACCUGCGGAAGGAUCAUUUGUGAAAAUUUAAUGUUUUUUUUUGAAGAGGGGUAAAAUCCUUUUUAGAAAAACAUAAAAAAAGAGAUUUCUUGUGGUUUAUAAAUGAUUUUUAAAGAAAAAAUUGUUUGUUGUUGGAUUCUUCUAAUGACAAACAAUUUAUAUUUUUAAAAAAUCAAUUUUUUAUAAAAAACUAUUUUAAACAUGUAUUUAAAAAAUUAACAGUUUUAAAAAAAUAAAUUAAAAAAAUAAAUUAAAACUGUCAACGGUGGAUCUCUUGGCUCGU
Molecule: unclassified non-coding RNA, 310 nt
Filed under: fungal sp.
Lineage: Eukaryota; Fungi
Description: partial internal transcribed spacer region
Rfam family: Eukaryotic small subunit ribosomal RNA (bases 1-46)
Source: RNAcentral